RNAcentral lists this non-coding RNA (404 nucleotides) under Lelliottia amnigena. The record is from RNAcentral. Lineage: Bacteria; Pseudomonadati; Pseudomonadota; Gammaproteobacteria; Enterobacterales; Enterobacteriaceae.
GUUUUUCAGCGUGCUAUUGAGCGGCUUGAUGAACAAGCUGUUGUUAUUCAGCACGACGUCGCCUUCAGCGGUCGUCAUCUCACCGUCCAGCGGGAUAUCAAGGUGCAGGCGGGCAUUCACAUCGCCAUCAAUCUGCAACUCUUUCAGCGCCGCAGCCAAAGAAUCGUCCAGCGGUGUGUCUUCAAAGUAAGGACCCACGGCUUUACCCGGCCCGUUGAUGUCCGCGUCGAUCAGCAGUUUCUCUUUGGAAUAAUCCGGGAUCACAGCGGUUAAAUUGCUGGCGGUCACACCGCCCAGCGCCACGCUGUCGGUUUUCAUCCACAAGCCGUCAUUCAGGAAGUUCAGCUCAAUAUCCAGGUUUUUGAGGGCUGGCCAGUCGGGCUGGAAGGCAAACGUGGCGUUAC